CCAAUCAAUAUCUUUGUCAAUCUCUAUUUAUCCUCAUGUCAGAUGAAUCACAUAGUUUGGUAAACAGUUGGUAAAAGAGUUGAAGUUGCAACCAGAUGGAUGAUAUGCCUGCUUUUGAAGGUUCCACCAGAAGAGCAGAAGCUUGCACUCAUUCAACUGUGGUGAAUCUUAUUUUUAUGUUUUUGGAUCAAUUGACCUAUCUAGGUUGGGUUGUAGAGUCAUCUAGGUUUGUUUUUGAGAGAGAUGUAUGUCUAGACUUGGAUUUGAAUUUGUUCAAAUUUGGAUAGCUUGUGAAUUUGGUGGAAGAAUGUUGAUAUUUUUUUAAUGCAAUGAAUUAUUUUAU
Molecule: non-coding RNA, 343 nt
Organism: Prunus avium (sweet cherry)
Lineage: Eukaryota; Viridiplantae; Streptophyta; Magnoliopsida; Rosales; Rosaceae
Source: RefSeq, a predicted model, not a curated record